CCGUUACAAGUAGAGACUAGCAGUUACAGGUUGAGACUAGCAGUUACAGGUACGGACUAGCAGUUACAGGUAGAGACUAGCAGUUACAGGUUGAGACUAGCAGUUACAGGUAGAGACUAGCAGUUACAGGUAGAGACUAGCAGUUACAGGUAGAGACUAGCAGUAACAGGUAGAGGCUAGCAGUUACAGGUUGAGACUAGCAGUUACAGGUAGAGACUAGCAGUUACAGGUAGAGACUAGCAAUUACAGGUAGAGACUAGCAGUUACAGGUAGAGGCUAGCAGUUACAGGUAGAGACUAGCAGUUACAGGUAGAGACUAG
Long non-coding RNA from Dreissena polymorpha, 320 nucleotides. RefSeq lists it as uncharacterized. The record is from RefSeq and is a predicted model, not a curated record. NCBI's taxonomy places the organism in Eukaryota, Metazoa, Mollusca, Bivalvia, Myida, Dreissenidae. The transcript is spliced from 3 exons.